GACGAACGCUGGCGGCGUGCUUAACACAUGCAAGUCGAACGGAAAGGCCCUGCUUUUGUGGGGUGCUCGAGUGGCGAACGGGUGAGUAACACGUGAGUAACCUGCCCUUGACUUUGGGAUAACUUCAGGAAACUGGGGCUAAUACCGGAUAGGAGCUCCUGCUGCAUGGUGGGGGUUGGAAAGUUUCGGCGGUUGGGGAUGGACUCGCGGCUUAUCAGCUUGUUGGUGGGGUAGUGGCUUACCAAGGCUUUGACGGGUAGCCGGCCUGAGAGGGUGACCGGCCACAUUGGGACUGAGAUACGGCCCAGACUCCUGCGGGGGGCAAGAGUGGGGAAUAUUGCACAAUGGGCGGAAGCCUGAUGCAGCAACGCCGCGUGCGGGAUGACGGCCUUCGGGGUGUAAACCGCUUUCGCCUGUGACGAAGCGUGAGUGACGGUAAUGGGUAAAGAAGCACCGGCUAACUACGU
Molecule: ribosomal RNA, 467 nt
Filed under: uncultured bacterium
Lineage: Bacteria
Description: partial 16S ribosomal RNA
Rfam family: Bacterial small subunit ribosomal RNA
Source: RNAcentral